Molecule: ribosomal RNA, 179 nt
Filed under: Ruellia affinis
Lineage: Eukaryota; Viridiplantae; Streptophyta; Magnoliopsida; Lamiales; Acanthaceae
Also listed under: 1 other name
Description: 5.8S ribosomal RNA
Rfam family: 5.8S ribosomal RNA (bases 14-169)
About the family: 5.8S ribosomal RNA (5.8S rRNA) is a component of the large subunit of the eukaryotic ribosome. It is transcribed by RNA polymerase I as part of the 45S precursor that also contains 18S and 28S rRNA.
Source: RNAcentral
UGAAUGUCAAAAUGACUCUCGGCAACGGAUAUCUCGGCUCUCGCAUCGAUGAAGAACGUAGCGAAAUGCGAUACUUGGUGUGAAUUGCAGAAUCCCGUGAACCAUCGAGUCUUUGAACGCAAGUUGCGCCCGAAGCCUUCGGGCCGAGGGCACGCCUGCCUGGGCGUCACGCAUCGCGU